Molecule: transfer RNA, 121 nt
Filed under: Linnemannia gamsii
Lineage: Eukaryota; Fungi; Mortierellomycota; Mortierellomycetes; Mortierellales; Mortierellaceae
Description: Mortierella gamsii tRNA
Rfam family: tRNA
About the family: Transfer RNA (tRNA) molecules are approximately 80 nucleotides in length. Their secondary structure includes four short double-helical elements and three loops (D, anti-codon, and T loops).
Source: Rfam by way of RNAcentral
GAAGAGGUGGCCGAGUGGUCCAAGGCGCCGCAAGCAGCUGCCCCAGUAUUGAUUCCUCUUGGAUUCAAAAUUAUGCGGUCUGUUCUAAGAACAGUCGUGGGUUCAAAUCCCACCCUCUUCU